This 460-nucleotide ribosomal RNA is filed under the name uncultured bacterium. RNAcentral describes it as "partial 16S ribosomal RNA". It matches the Rfam family "Bacterial small subunit ribosomal RNA", at positions 338 to 795 of the family's 1533-position model. The record is from RNAcentral.
CCUACGGGAGGCUGCAGUGAGGAAUAUUGGUCAAUGGGCGCGAUCCUGAACCAGCCAUGCCGCGUGCAGGACGACUGCUCUACGGGUUGUAAACUUCUUUUAUACAGGAGUAAAGUGACUUACGUGUGCGUUUUUGUAAGUACUUUACGAAUAAGGAUCGGCUAACUCCGUGCCAGCAGCCGCGGUAAUACGGAGGAUCCGAGCGUUAUCCGGAUUUAUUGGGUUUAAAGGGUGCGUAGGUGGGUUUUUAAGUUAGUUGUGAAAGAUCGCGGCUCAACCGUAAAAUUGCAAUUGAUACUGGAAGACUUGAGAACGGAUGCAGUAGGCGGAAUGCGUAGUGUAGCGGUGAAAUGCAUAGAUAUCACGAAGAACACCGAUUGCGAAGGCAGCUUGCUAGGCUGGCACUGACAUUGAUGCACGAAAGUGUGGGUAUCGAACAGGAUUAGAUACCCUAGUAGUC